Long non-coding RNA from Rhagoletis pomonella (apple maggot), 1108 nucleotides. RefSeq lists it as uncharacterized. The transcript has 3 exons. Lineage: Eukaryota; Metazoa; Arthropoda; Insecta; Diptera; Tephritidae. The record is from RefSeq and is a predicted model, not a curated record.
AUGCAUGAUGCAAGAUUUGCAUUUCGCAUUAACGCCUGAAUACCCCUAGUACGUUUUAUCAGUGCACUUGCACAAGAUUCGCAUUCGCAAAAACUCCGAAUUUAUUGUCGCGAAUAUGGGUUCGAGUGCGAAUGUUAAAAUUAAUGCGGAAGAUCCGCGGUAGCGAAUGCGAAUUUUCGUAACUACCCUGGUAUGUAUGUAAAAGUGUAACUGCAUGUGUAUUGCAUUUUUCGUAGCGAAGCAAUAUACUCGUAGAACACUCUAGCCAAUGCAACAUUUAAACUUUGAGAGCAAAACGAUAAAUUAUGUAUCUCUGCAGUUGAGGUUUAAUUGAAUGAACUUUUUUCAAUUUAGUGUAUUAAGAUUUUUCCUUAGAGGUCAUUGAAUUUUAUUUUCUUCGUUUUUUGUAUAGUGUACAUUCAAAGAGUAAAUACUUACAUAUGUAUGUAAAGAUAAAUUUACAUAAAUUCUGACGCUAUGCUCGUAAAAUAAUUCUAUAGUUGCACAUGUAUGGACACGUGAAGAACCACAUGCCCAGCAUCACUCUGAGAUUGGGUAGCACAUUUGCAAUCUGUAAUACGGGAUAGAAGAAGUUUUUAAUUAUUAUCGUUAGUGAAAGGCAACUAAAGCUGCGAACACUAAAAUAGCAGUAGCUAUGAGUGUACAUACUACAUAAACAUGAGAUUCAAUUAAUCGAUAAUAACCAGGGAACGGAUUUUUAGAACCUAAAAACCUAUAAAAAAGGCAAAAUAAAAUAGCGAAACAGGCAGGAAAAGGCACUAGAAAUCGCAGAAAAAGCAAAAGAAGGCAUGGAAUAAAUAUGGAACACUUAAAACUUUCUUCAUAUUAUCAGUAAUAAGGCUCUUUCCUUGCCCUUUACAAUUAAAGGCUUUCUGGAAAAAAAGGCAACAUAAAAUGUGUAUACAUAUAUGGAAUCGGGGAAAGCUAAAUCGUAGACACUCUUAAUCGAAUAUACUCUAACAAUUAUUAUUAUUUAUGAAUAAGGCCAUAAGUCUUUAGCAGAAAAAAAGGGCAAUUUCCAUUAAAUGCGUUCCCUGAUAAUAACUUAUAAAUUAUACGAUUUUCGUUACAUGCUUGGCAAAGAAAA